CACUUCUAAGGAAGGCAGCAGGUGCGCAAAUUACCCAAUCCUGACUCAGGGAGGUAGUGACAAGAAAUAACAAUAAACCGGCUUAUGCCGGUUUAAUUGGAAUGAGUACAAUUUAAACAUCUUAACGAGGAACAAUUGGAGGGCAAGUCUGGUGCCAGCAGCCGCGGUAAUUCCAGCUCCAAUAGCGUAUACUAAAGUUGUUGCAGUUAAAAAGCUCGUAGUUGGAUUUCUGUGGGGACGGAGCGGCCGGCCGCAACUCGCGGUUCGAGCUAGCGCUUUCCCUACAUCCUGCCGCGAACCGUGCUACCAUUAGUUUGGUGGCGCCGGGGAUCGGCUCGAUUACUUUGAGAAAAAUAGAGUGUUCAAAGCAGGCCACAUGCCUUGAAUAAGUUAGCAUGGAAUAAUAACUAAGGACUUCGGUUCUAUUUUGUUGGUGUUCGGGACUGAAGUAAUGAUUGAUAGGGACAGUUGGGGCGGUCUGUAUUCCAAAGCGAGAGGUGAAAUUCUUAGACCUUCGGAAGACAAACAGCUGCGAAAGCGUUCCGCAAGGAUGUUCCCUUUGAUCAAGAACGAAAGUUGGGGGAUCGAAGACGAUCAGAUACCGUCGUAGUCUCAACCAUAAACUAUGCCAGCUAGGGAUGGGAAGGUGUUUACAAACGACCCUUUCCGCACCUUAUGAGAAAUCAAAGCAUUUGGGUUCCGGGGGGAGUAUGGUCGCAAAGCUGAAACUUAAAGGAAUUGACGGAAGGGCACCACCAGCCGUGGAGCCUGUGGCUUAAUUUGACUCAACACGGGAAAACUUACCAGGUCCAGACAUAGUAAGGAUUGACAGAUUGAUAGCUCUUUCUUGAUUCUGUGGGUGGUGGUGCAUGGCCGUUCUUAGUUGGUGGAGUGAUUUGUCUGGUUAAUUCCGUUAACGAACGAGACCCCAGCCUGCUAAAUAGCGCGCGUGAGCUUUGCUCGCGGCGAGCUUCUUAGAGGGACUAUGAUGCGCGAUAGCACAUGGAAGUUUGGGGCAAUAACAGGUCUGUGAUGCCCUUAGAUGUUCUGGGCCGCACACGGGCUACACUGGCGCCUGCAACGAGCAUAUCAGCUGGCCCGAGAGGGUCUUGGCUAAUCUUUUGAACCGGCGCCGUGCUUGGGAUUGACCUUUGCAAUUGUUGGUCAUGCAACGAGGAAUGCCUUGUAAACGCGAGUCAUCAGCUCGCAUUGAAUACGUCCCUGCCCUUUGUACACACCGCCCGUCGCUCUUACCGAUGAAUGUUCCGAUGAAAUUUUCGGAGAGCACCUGUGAACUUGGCUCUGCCUUGCGAACGGGAGGCUCAAAGUCACUUAAAUCUGAACAUUUCGAGG
Molecule: ribosomal RNA, 1353 nt
Filed under: uncultured marine eukaryote
Lineage: Eukaryota
Description: SSU rRNA
Rfam family: Eukaryotic small subunit ribosomal RNA
Source: RNAcentral